UCCAGGGAAAUGUUGGAUUUUGUGGA
This 26-nucleotide non-coding RNA is filed under the name Homo sapiens (human). Lineage: Eukaryota; Metazoa; Chordata; Mammalia; Primates; Hominidae. The record is from RNAcentral.